RNAcentral lists this microRNA precursor (94 nucleotides) under Petromyzon marinus (sea lamprey). Its description in RNAcentral is "miRNA (ENSPMAG00000010476.1)". Lineage: Eukaryota; Metazoa; Chordata; Hyperoartia; Petromyzontiformes; Petromyzontidae. The record is from RNAcentral.
GCCACCACGGCACCACCGUCGCCUCGGUCGCCGCCGCCGCCGGUGGUGGCGGCGGCGGCGGCGGGAGGACGGUGCCUGUCCAUGGACGGGCGCC